Molecule: long non-coding RNA, 2207 nt
Filed under: Bemisia tabaci
Lineage: Eukaryota; Metazoa; Arthropoda; Insecta; Hemiptera; Aleyrodidae
Description: lncRNA ENSASIAIIG012289
Source: RNAcentral
CAUCGAUGUCGGAUGACAUCCAAAGAGCCGUGGAUGGCCGCCUCCCGCCUCUGAACCGGCUUACCUGUUAUCACUUAUCAGGCACGUUGUAUUAUGUAGAGUACCUAUAUACAGAGAGUAUGGCCACUGGGUCCCAUGGAGAGGCUUAGGACCCAAAAAUGGCGGUGCUUUGUUUUGGUUUUUGUGGAUGGGAGGGGGGUCAUUGCCAACUUUUGACGGUUAUCACCAACCGCACUCGCUGCCAACCUUACUGCAUCUGAGAUAAUUUUUUCUCGAAAAUUGCGCACGAUUAGCCUUAAAAAUAUGUAACGAGGUCGCAAUAGUGCAUUUGGGUAAAUUUCUCGUUGCGGUAAGCAAAGACAACUACAUUUUGAGGCAUUUGGCAUUAUAUUAAUUCUCGGCGUCCGCCAUUUUUGGGUCCUAAGGGCUCCAUGGAGCCUAAGAUGGCUGAGCCAAUCAGAGGUGGUAACUCCAGUGGCCAUACUCUCUGUAUAUAGGUACUCUAGUAUUAUGUAUUGUAUGGUUUUAUUGUUUACUUCUUACAGUUCACGAAACUAAUAAACCCAGACGUGAGUUUACGAGUUAUGGAUCGACAUUAUUUUUAAUUAUCAUUUAGCUCGUAUUUGCUAAUUCAUGACAGCCCUCUCUCGUCAUAGGUAGUGAAUACUCUGCCAAAUCUUCGAUCCAUACUUUCUACUAGUAUUAUUCUGUCACCAACUCUCACACCAUGCUCAAUUCAUCGUUCGGAGACGAAACCAUUGAUGGACUUGACAAAAAUGUCAAACUGUCUUUGGAUGGGCUACAGCUGAAGCAGUAUCAUGAGAAUUUCCGGAAGCAUAGGAUUGACAUUGAUCUGUUCUUCACCCUCACUAAUGACGACCUGAAAAAUAUUGGCAUUGAAGAUGAAGAACACCGUAAAAUUCUGGUGAAAGCAACCACAAAACCCGCAAUGGCAGUUCAAAACGAAUCUAUUCGUCCUUUAAAGAAAGAGGAAGCUGAUGCAAUUCUAACUAACUCAUUCAAAUACCUGACAGUGCUGAAAUUGUUUAUAAAAGAACUAGAUCCCACAAGAAAGAAGAAUGAAAUUAGGAAUACCGCAUUGAAUUCUGAAGCCUCUGCUGCUGAUGGAAUAGUUACAUUUAGUAAUGCAGCCAUCAAAUGUCUCCAGGAUCUGAGACUGCAAUACUGUACUCUUCUUCCUGAGGAUUCAUUGAAGAAGGCCAAAAGAAAAUCUGCUUGGAUCACCAGGAGUGUCCCAGUCCUUGCGGUCUUAUUAACUGGAGCUUUGGUCUCUCAUUUAAUCUGGCGUAAAUUGAACAAACCAAUUUAGCAAAAACUUUGAUCAUGUGAUACUUGCUUCUUCCUCUCUCUUCCAUAAAAAAACUAGUGUCUUAAAAAAGUGUGAUGAAAAUGUCCUUUUCAGAGAACAAAUAUUAUUGGGACGAUGCAUUGGCUACAUCAGCUACCUGAACAAUCUAAACAAGAAUGAAGCAAAAAAAUGCAAGUGUGCAGCAUUGUUUUUUACUUAGUGAUGAUAUGUGAUGAACUCAUAAAGCAUUUCAGUUGCCUUGUAAAGAUUGAUGGAUAUCAAGACUAAGCAGUGUUGGGUAAACUAGGCCCCGUUUGUCAAAAAAAUUGCUCAAUACAUUUCUCAUCAACCAACAUCAGCCCAGAAGAGCAUUGAUCCCCACUAAUAAUUUUUAUCCUAUGAGAAGUGUGUACUUAAUUUGGGAUCUCUUAAAUAUACAAUUUUUUCCCCCCUCCUGAAGUACCUAACUUCAAUUUAAACACUAACUUGAUCUCAGUCUGAACAUUUGGGUAUGAAUUUGGUACCUACAGAAGAUGGACCCAUAUCCUUUCUAGAAGUACAAAAUGUUAAUGAAUUCAUAUUUUUUACGCAUUUAGGAUUAAACAUUUGUCGUCAAUAUUAUAUAUUUUUGUACAAUAUGCAGACGCUUGUUCCAACAUUUUUAUUUUUGUAAAAAAUUGGCUUCAUAUGAUAAAAAGCCUGUUUUGUAAAAAUGUAAAAACAAAUUUGGACCCAUUGUGAAUAUGAUUUUUGUAAUGAUUAAAAUUCCAUAUUUUUCCACUUUUUUACAAAAAAUUUUUGUUGUAUUCAUUUUGAAUCGGACACCUUCUUUUACUAAAAUAAUCAUCCAUCAGAUCCAUAGCUUUUUUCUGAAUCAGUGGGUAAAAAGCAGAUAGCC